RNAcentral lists this long non-coding RNA (400 nucleotides) under Gallus gallus (chicken). RNAcentral's name for it is "lncRNA (ENSGALG00010016995.1)". Lineage: Eukaryota; Metazoa; Chordata; Aves; Galliformes; Phasianidae. The record is from RNAcentral.
GGAGGAAACAGAGAAAGAAGAAAGAAGAAAAAAAGCAAAGGCAAAAAAAAAAAAAAAAAAAAAAAAAAAAAAACAAAAAGAGACCAAAAGAGAGCAGCAGAAGUGUCUGUGCACACCAACUCUGCAGAAGGGCUGCACACACCGCCUGCACACAGAGCUGCAGUGGUGGAUCUCCAGCAGUGCUCUCCCGGAGCGCAGCACCGCAGUGCGCAUCCCAUGGGCUGAGCGGGGCCCAGAGCCAUUCCCAAGCACUGAAGGGCACCUGAACUGCCAUGAAACGUAUAACAUUCAAAAAGAUUUAAGAAAGGAUGAAAAUUUAGUUUCCUGUCUCGCUCGGAAACGAACUUCUGCUGCAUGGCAGAAAGCUGCUUUUGCUGCGGCUCGUGCGGCUGUCUACGAA